RNA transcript from Mandrillus leucophaeus (drill), 1618 nucleotides. It is a transcript of the gene named protein FAM210A pseudogene, with no coding region annotated. Lineage: Eukaryota; Metazoa; Chordata; Mammalia; Primates; Cercopithecidae. The transcript has a single exon. The record is from RefSeq and is a predicted model, not a curated record.
GCGGGUUCCGGCACCCGGACCCACACUCGGUCGGGAUGCUCUGCUGAGUAACACUGCCGUGGCAUUCCAGGAGCUGUGGUCCAGCCUGUGCGGCGGGAAGCGGCGGCGGCGGCCCCAGGGUCCUAAGAGAAGCUGAAACCUAUCAACACUCUUCAAAAUGCAAUGGAAUGUACCACGGACUGUAUCUCGACUGGCACGCAGGACAUGCUUGGAACCACAUAAUGCUGGUCUUUUUGGACGCUGUCAAAAUGUAAAGGGACCUUUACUUUUGUACAAUGCUGAUUCCAAAGUGGCUUUGGUACAAGGCCUUCAAAAACAAUGGUUGAAUUUAUCUGCUGCCCAGUGCGUUGCAAAGGAAAGGAGGCCGUUGGAUGCUCAUUCACCCCAACCAGGAGUCCUUCACCAUAAGCAAGGGAAGCAACAUGUUUCAUUCAAGAGGGUUUUUUCAUCCAGUGCCACAGCUCAGGGAACUCCAGAAAAAAAGGAAGAGCCUGAUCCUUUGCAAGACAAAUCUAUUAGUCUUUAUCAACGAUUCAAGAAGACAUUUAGACAGUAUGGAAAAGUUCUGAUUCCAGUGCAUCUAAUAACUUCUGGUGUUUGGUUUGGAACAUUUUAUUAUGCGGCCUUGAAAGGAGUGAAUGUUGUUCCUUUUCUAGAACUCAUUGGAUUACCUGACAGUGUGGUAAGCAUCCUGAAAAACUCCCAGAGUGGAAAUGCACUCACAGCAUAUGCCUUGUUUAAGAUUGCAACACCUGCUCGGUACACCGUGACUUUGGAAGGAACAUCCUUCACUGUGAAGUAUCUGCACAGUCAUGGCUACAUGUCCUCGCCACCACCCAUCAAGGAAUAUCUACAGGACAGGAUGGAGGAGACAAAGGAGCUUAUCACAGAGAAGAUGGAAGAAACAAAAGACAGACUCACUGAAAAGUUACAAGAAACCAAAGAAAAGGUUUCCUUUAAGAAAAAAGUGGAAUAAGGUGCCUUACAGCAGUAUAGAAAUAUAGCAGUAUAGAAAAUUCCUGCACUUUAACCCUUUGGAAACUAUGGGCAAAGAUACGUGUGUCUGAUUUUUUUUUUUUUUUUUUUUUUGGUUAGUUGUCUAAAUAUACAAAUUCUCUGAGGGUUAAAGAAGUAAAAUACCUUUUUAAAGUUAAAUAUCACUAGAAAAAUCAGUGUUAUUACAAGGAAAGAAACGAACCCAGUAUAAGAAUGUCCCAUCAGUAGCAGUAUUAAGCAGUGGUGAAUGUCUUAGAAGUCAUACUUCUUUUUCAAGGUCUUCAGAACCACACUUGAUUUCUGUUGCAGCUGUAAUUGACGCACACUAUAGGCAGUUGACUCCUUGAGUAACCAGUGUGACCCAUAAAAUAGGCUAAUACUGGAUCUUAAUUUUUAUGUUAUUCAUUAAGGUUUUAACUAUAUUCAGUAUGUAAUUUGGAGACAAACUAGCAUCAUCAAAACUGCCUGUGAAUAAGAAGGUAUUUAGUCUUUCUAUAAAAACAGAAUAAAGCAGUUACCUACCAGUUAAAAUAUCUUAUAUGAAGAAAAUAGAAUAAAGAUUCAGUCAUAUAUAUGUAAAUACGAUGUAUUGAUUGUAUGUAAAUGAAAAAUGGACCCUUUA